This 21-nucleotide microRNA is filed under the name Hypericum perforatum. RNAcentral's name for it is "Hyp-miR390". The record is from RNAcentral. Lineage: Eukaryota; Viridiplantae; Streptophyta; Magnoliopsida; Malpighiales; Hypericaceae.
AAGCUCAGGAGGGAGAGCACC